AUGCCCAACCUCGUCUUCCUCCAGCUCUACAACAACAGCCUCGUGGGUGGCAUCCCGCCGCAGCUCUGCAGGCUCCCCCUCGUCCGAUUACUAGAUAUCUCCAAGAACCAGCUCGCCGGAGAGCUUCCGAGCUGCUUGUGCGACUUCCGGUCUCUUCAAUACAUGGACUUGUCGAACAACCAGUUCUCUGGGAAGCUUCCGGACUGCUGGUGGAACCUGCAGGAUCUGCAGUUCAUGGAUCUAUCCAAUAACUCCUUCUCAGGUAAAAUCCCCAUGGCUGUGCCAAGCCAAACCUGCUCUCUUAGGUGGCUUUACCUUGCCAGAAAUAGCUUCAUCGGUGCCUUCCCGCCGGUCCUAAGGAGCUGCAAUUCGCUGGAGACAGUGGACAUAGGAAACAAUGGGUUUUUUGGGGUUAUCCCUCCAUGGAUUGGGAGUCGGUUUCCAUUGUUGAAAAUCCUUAGCCUCAGAUCAAACAACUUCACCGGAGAAAUUCCUCCACGGUUAUCGCGCCAUUUGGGACUUCAGUUGCUUGACAUGGCAAGCAAUAGCUUGACCGGCUCAAUUCCGGCAUCCUUCGGCAGCUUCACCUCCAUGAAGUAUCCAAAAAAUCUUUCGGCUACUGCAUCGCUCUACUGGUCAAAAUACGAUGAUAAAAUCAACAUAAUCUGGAAGGGCCAGGAGCAGAUUUUCCAAAGUGCAACCCAAUCAUUAGCCGGUAUUGAUCUGUCGGCUAAUUUGUUGUCUCGAUGCAUCCCUAAAGAGCUAACCAACCUUAUGGGCAUCCAGUUCUUGAACCUGUCAAGAAACCAUCUGUCAUGCGGUAUUCCUAAAGACAUCGGUAGUUUGACUUAUCUCGAGUCCCUUGAUCUGUCUUCUAAUGAACUAUUAGGAGGGAUUCCUCCGAGCAUGUCGAACUUAUCUUGGCUGAACACGUUCAAUGUCUCGAACAAUCUUUUGUCAGGCAAGAUACCCGCUGGGAGUCAGAUGCAGACCCUGACUGACCCAUCGAUUUAUUCCAAUAAUUCUGGGUUGUGCGGAUUUCCUCUCGAGACUCCAUGUGCAAAUACUUUCCUUACACAGAAUGAGAGAAAUGGUGGAAAUGAGGAUCAGUGGUUGUACUACUCGGUGAUUGCAGGGAUUGUGUUUGGUUUCUGGUUAUGGUUUGGGAUGCUCUUUAUAGUUAAAACUUGGAGAUGUGCUUUUCUCUUAUUUGUCGACGGCAUGCAAUGUAAGGUUAUGAAGAAGGCAUGA
RNAcentral lists this ribosomal RNA (1251 nucleotides) under Triticum aestivum (bread wheat). Its description in RNAcentral is "partial small subunit ribosomal RNA". The record is from RNAcentral. Lineage: Eukaryota; Viridiplantae; Streptophyta; Magnoliopsida; Poales; Poaceae.